AGUAACGGCGAGCGAAGUGGGAAGAGCUCGAGCCUGAAAUCCCUGGCAGGUACUGUCAGGGAGUUGUGGCCGGGAGAGGCAACUAGGCCCUGAUCGAUGCUGUCAAAGUUGACCUGGAAAGGCGCGUCAGAGAGGGUGAGAGCCCCGUACGUGACACCGUUGGUCUGGGCUUGUAUUGCCUUCGGAGAGUCGGGUUGUUUGGGAAUGCAGCCCAAAGUGGGUGGUAAACUCCAUCUAAAGCUAAAUAUUGGCACGAGACCGAUAGCAAACAAGUACCGUGAGGGAAAGGUGAAAAGUACUUUGAAAAGAGAGUCAAAAAGACCGCGAAACCGUUAGGAGGGAAACGAAUGCAGCUGAAUUGGCUCUGCUCAAGUUCAGGAGCGAUGUUGAUUGGCGAUGCCAGUCUGCAAAAGCCGAUAGGUUUUGCUCUCGGGAUAGCUGUCAACUCCUCUGCACUCUUGUGCAAAGCUGGCCAACAACAGUUGCCCGUGGCUGAGAAGGGCGGUUGGGAAGGUAGUCACUUCUCGGAGUGAAACUUAUAGCCAUCCGUCUGGUAGUCUGGGGGCGACUGAGGAUAACAGGCAGUGCAGGCCAUUGGCUUGGGCCGCUUCUGGCCGUUUGGGCACCGCGACAGGGACUGCGUGCAGUGUCUGCUGACGGAUGUCUGCUCGGACGGGAGACUGGUCACAUCUUGCGCUGUAGUUGUUGGUGAUCAAAUGGCUGCAUCCGACCCGUCUUGAAACACGGACCAAGGAGUGCAACAUGCGUGCGAGUCUUUGGGUGGCAAACCCAGCGGCACAAUGAAAGUGAAGGCAGGCGUUGGUCUGCUCAGGCGAGAGUCCUCUUGUGGGGACACAUCGUCAACCGAUCCCAGGUCACGCUGUGGCGGGAUUUGAGUGAGAGCGUGCCUGUUGCGACCCGAAAGAUGGUGAACUAUGCCUGAAUAGGGUGAAGCCAGAGGAAACUCUGGUGGAAGCUCGUAGCGAUUCUGACGUGCAAAUCGAUCGUCAAAUUUGGGUAUAGGGGCGA
RNAcentral lists this ribosomal RNA (1029 nucleotides) under Hymeniacidon sp. 2 JV-2020. Its description in RNAcentral is "partial large subunit ribosomal RNA". It matches the Rfam family "Eukaryotic large subunit ribosomal RNA", at positions 82 to 926 of the family's 3401-position model. Lineage: Eukaryota; Metazoa; Porifera; Demospongiae; Suberitida; Halichondriidae. The record is from RNAcentral.